This 76-nucleotide transfer RNA is filed under the name Bacillus thuringiensis serovar kurstaki str. YBT-1520. RNAcentral's name for it is "tRNA-Asp (GTC) (tRNA-Asp-GTC-2-1)". It matches the Rfam family "tRNA". Rfam says of the family: Transfer RNA (tRNA) molecules are approximately 80 nucleotides in length. Their secondary structure includes four short double-helical elements and three loops (D, anti-codon, and T loops). The record is from RNAcentral. Lineage: Bacteria; Bacillati; Bacillota; Bacilli; Caryophanales; Bacillaceae.
GGUCUCGUGGUGUAGUGGUUAACAUGCCUGCCUGUCACGCAGGAGAUCGCCGGUUCGCACCCGGUCGGGACCGCCA